GAACAUCUGAGUAUUAUUGGUAAAAUCAAGGGAUCUGUACUUCUAGGACAGCACACACCCGUCUCGUAAAAGAAGGGUGUCAGUGUGUAGCCAGGAGUGCACUUGUCCUACUGUUAUCAGACCUGGGACUGAUUGCAGGUGCUUUGGGCAUUGCCAUAGGCAGCAGGAAGUAAGCACUGAGUGUGGAGGCAUAUUCAGGGAUCAGCUCAAAGGGAUGCUGGAAGACUUGGGCUGCUCACACUGAAGAGAAGGGGUGGAAUGUUGGAAGCAUUUCUCAUGGCAUUUGGAAUAUCAGUUAGCUACUUUCAGGUGGGGAGAGAAGUCAGUGGGUGCAUUUAUGUUAGUGAUUUAAUGUACAGUAGAUUUUGAGUGUAAUCUUCAGUACACACAGAGCUCAGUGUGUUGCUCCAAAGCACAUUGUUGCAUGUGAAAUGGUUCCCCUGCACGUGGAACGCAGCAGCACCAACAGAGUAACCCAGUAACAGACCCCGCAGCUUCAGAAAGGUUAGUUUAAAGGAGGCUGAGAUCAGAUGGUUGGCUCUGUGCUUCCAGGUGUGGUUGGUCAGAAAUGAAGGGUGGAGUACAGCGGUUAAUCAUCACAAUUCAUCAUCAUUAUGAAGGAUGGUUUCAUGACACUCUUCGAGCUCUGCAGCCUGGCUCAGCCUUCAGCACAUAGCUACAGAACAGUCAUCUGAAGUCCUGCUCUGCGAAUGUUCCUCCACGACUGAGCUUAGCAGCUUCAGUUCCGACAUUAGGAGGCAACAUCCCUCACUGCAGCAGACCCAGAGCGGAAAACAUACACCUACUCUUACCACCAGAUCCUGCUUCUGCACCACUGCGUGUGCAUUCCUACAAGGGCAAUUAUAGUCGGAUUGAAAUGGAAACGGUGCUGCCUUUACGGUGUUCUCAUCAGUGCAUAGGCCAAGAGUUUGCCAUUUGGGAUGGACAGACGGAAGCACACAGGUCAGAAGGGGACUUUGCAGCCUCCACAUGAGGCCUGCAUGCAAAGGGGCAACCAGGAGGGCUGGCACAUGCCCCAUGCUCAGAAAUGCCAGUUGGCACAACCAUUCUGAUAAACACCCGUGUGACAAGCACACGUUGAUGUAUGUCCUUAGUUUUCAUGGUUCUGUAUUUGAGACGGCGUAUUUUCCUAAAGAAAACAACGUCUCCAGGCAAUGGUAACCCUAAGGAGGGUGAUGCUCAGGGCGCAUAUUCCAGGAGCGCUCACUGCUGAGCGUAUCACAGCAACAUCUCCUCAGAGCUGCCCGUCUUUCUACAAGAGGAGAGCUCAGCCAAGGGUGGGUAGGAAGGAGCAGACGGCCCACGCCAGGCGCGCAGGUGGGGUCUGGUGUAUUCAGCGCCGCGACUGGAAAGCGGCGUUGGAGACGUGCGGCGCUCGAUCUGAGCGGGAUGCGCUGAAGCCUCGCCCUGCAGCGCCUUUCAGGGGUCCGUACUGCAGUCCAACCAGCUCCCGUCCCCGACCUCCUCCCACAUCGGCCGCUGACGGGAACCGGCCGCCCCACUCCCCUGCCCCGGGUGCGUCGCGGCGCGGGGCGGGCAGGGCAGGGCAGGGCGGCUCGGGGAGCGCCGGAGACGCGGCCGUGCCGCGGCCGGGGGCGGGCGGCGCCUGGGGGUGACGGGCGGGUCUAGGCCACAGCCGAGUGCGCACGCGUCAGUUCCGGCGGGGAGCGCGGCGCGGCGCGUGGGUAGGAAACGCCGCGGCGGCGGGGGAGCGGAAAAUGGCGGCGGCCGCGCAGCUCACGGAUGAGGAGCUCUUCUCGGAGCUGCGGCGCUUCGGCUUCUCUCCGGGGCCGGUCACCGAGAGCACUCGGCCCGUCUACCUGAAGAAGCUGAAGAAGCUGCGCGAGGAGGAGCGGGCCGGGGCCCGCGGCGGCGCCAACAAGACCCGGAACAGCAACAACAAUAACACGGCGGCCGGAGGCGGCGGCGCCGGGAGAGCGGGCGCGGGCGGGCGGCUGGCGGGCGCCGAGCACCCCUACCUCCCCGGGGCCGCCGGCGGCGGGCGGAGCCGCGCAGCACCCCCUGCCGGGGGCGGCAAAGUGCUGCUGGGCUUCAGCUCGGACGAGUCGGACGCGGAGGCCGGCCCUCGCGGCCAGGCCGGCGGCAGGAGGGAGCGGGCUUCGCCCCUCUUCCGCGGCGCGAGGCCCGGCGGCGGCACGGCGCCCCCGGAGGAGGCGGCCCGGCGGAAGCCCGGCGCCUGGUGGGGGGCGGCGGCGGCGGCCCGCAGAGCGGCUUCGGGCGCCUGGGAGCGCGGGGACGGCGGCGAGGAGGAGGGCGACGACGCGGAGGAGGAGGAGAAGGGCGAGCAGCGGCGGUGGAAGAACCGGACCGUGAACGGCAGCCGGCUGCUCGCCUGCGGCGGGGACAAGUACUCCGACUCGGAGGAAGAGGAGGCGGCGGCCCGGCAGCAGGUACCGAGGGAGGAACCGGCGGCCCGCCGGCCCAGGCGGAGCCUCGGCAAGUCCGCUCCGUUCACAGCGAGCAAAUGCGCUGCGGCCGGCGCUGGCGCGAUGGAGACGGCUCGGGAGAGGGCCGGCGGGGGCUGCGGUGCCGGCGCGGCCGUCGCGACUGACGGGGCGGCGGGGGCGGCCGCUGCCGGGAGCCGAGACGGGGGCGGGAGCCGCGAGGAGACGGCGGCGACGGCGGCGGCGGCGGGGGGAAGAUGCGAGAGACCGGAGCCGGGUCCCGCCGGCCCCCGGUAUCGCCUCGGCCCGGCCAGGAGGGCCCCCGCGGCGCCGCCCCCGGACGCGGACGGCGGUGACGGCGCCGAGCCCCCGGGCGCCGGCAGGAAGGCCACCAACAACCACGUCCUCGGCGGGGCCGCCGGCAGCCACGGCGCCGAGCCCAGGAUCUAUUCCGCUACCAACAGCCUCCCCCCGGGCGGGAGCGCCUCCCUCAGACUCAACCACUCCAAUCAUACGGGUUCCAAUCACGCCUACCUGAAAAACACCUACAAGAAGAAUCUCUCCGAGCCCGAGGAGGAGCUUCUCCAACAGUUCAAAAGAGAGGAGGUAUCCACCACUGGAGGCUUCAGUGCACAUUACCUGUCCAUGUUCCUCUUAACUGCUGCAUGCUUGUUCUUUCUCAUACUGGGAUUCACAUACCUGAGAAUGAGAGGUUCUGGAGUAGCUGAGGAUGUGGGAGCCAACAGUGAAGUGGGUCAACAUCUGUCUCCUGGCAGAAGUGCUGUGGAAAUUUUUGCAGUCAAGAAUCCCUUCAGUGGAGAACUACAAGACAUAGAAGAAGAUGAAAUAAGUCUCAUGAUGAACAGCUUAUAUGCACUUCAUGAUAAAUUGGCACAAGUAGCAGGGAAACAUGAAUGUGGCAGCUCUGUUCAAAGAAAUCUUACCGUCCAGGAGGCAGCUGCAUAUUUGAAAAAUAUAGAUCCAGAAUAUGAAAGUGUAUUUAAUACAGCACUACAAUGGAUAUUGAAUAGUGGGGAAGAUGUUGGCAUAAAGUGUCUUGGCAGUGAUCCUAAUGAUGUGGAUGUCACUAAUGUGACGGACGUGAAGUACCUGGAAUCCACUAGUCCAAAGAUGUCUUUCAGGUGUCGUUUUCGCCGUGCGUUUAUUAGUGUAACUCAUAGAUUAUCAAUACCGCUUUUAGGUGUAGCAAUUGUUUGGGGAGUCUUGCACUAUAUGAAAUAUCGUUGGGCAAAAGAAGAAGAGGAAACGAGGCAGAUGUAUGAUAUGGUCGUAAAAAUCAUAGAUGUUCUAAGAAGUCACAGUGAGGCAUGUUCUGAAAAUAAAGACUUGCAGCCUUAUAUGCCUAUUUUGCAUGUGCAUGAUUCUCUAAUACCAGCUCAGGACAGGAGGAAAAUGAGGAAAGUCUGGAGUAGAGCAGUUGACUUCCUAGCGGCAAAUGAAUCUAGAGUUCGCACAGAGACUCGAAGAAUAGGUGGUGCUGAGUUCUUGGUUUGGAAAUGGAUGCAACCAUCUGCUGCAUGUGACAAAGUUUUAGUAAUACCGUCAAAAGUGUGGCAAGGCCAAGGUCCGGGUCCAUGACUAGGCCACCCCAGAUCACCUUCUCCAGUAUGGUCUUGUGCCCCAGUGUACAAUAUGCUGGUGACAUUUCACCCUCCCUUGAUCUGCUGGAGCCAACCUACAUGAGUAAGAAGAACAGUGAUGUUGAUGCGUCUUGGACCAAGCACUGCUGCCCAGAAUUUGGAUUUGUAACAUCUGGAAUGUGGCGUCUUGAAUCUACAUAGUAGGGUUUGAAAAGGAGAAGCUUGGAACAUGAUUUUGUCUUGUUGAGAGUUUUCAUCCUUAAACUCUUGCAUCUACUCAUCUCCAAAUCUUCAAAGUGAAAAUUCUUUUGAGUGUUGGAAGUUGUUUUGCCAGUAUACACACAUCAUUGGCCCCUCGUGAUGUGGGACUGACUUAUCUGAAUCUAAAUCAUUAUUCCUUUUUUCAUGAUACAGUCUUCUGUUGUGACUCCCAAAUAGAGAAUUCAGGAACUUUAGAAGAAAGAUACUUAUUUUAGCAGUUCAUAUGAAUAUUUAAUGGGUCCACUCAUCUUUGAAAGAAUUGCUUGUUAUUUUUAAUUCCCAUUUUUUCUUGUAUCCGUUGUGUCUUUUGCUGCGUUUCAUUUCUUUUUUUCCCAAGUUUCUGAUUACAAGCCUAGAGUAUCUAGGCUACAAAAGCUCCAUCCUUGACAGUUGUUACUGCAACAUAGAUGUGUGUUUGACUGUUUGACUCUCCCUGUUUCUUAGUCAAAUGGACAACAGACUGCCCCCAGAGUGGAAAGGGAAGUUACUUUAUUAGGUAUUUGAAACUGAGUAUUAAUCUACAGCUCCAAAAACUUGAUCCAGAUUCUAAGAGCAUCUGUCUUUUCAGAAACACGAUACCAACACUUUAUUUUCAACUGUAUGAUAUUUUUAAAUGCCCUUAAUUCCUUUCAUUUACUAUGGAUUGAACAUGAGAGAAUGCAUUAUCUGUUUACAUCUAGAAGUUCUAUAUUAAAAAAACAAUAAUAAUAGUCAGUAGGUGUGAUACAUUUUCCUUAGUGCAGUAAAAGAUUGGGGAAACUUAGUUUGUGUGAAGCCUUUUCAUACGUGGAUGAAAGUAUUCUGUUUUUAAUGUAUGGAGUUGUUACCUAGGUAAUAUUGUGCAUGUCAAUAAAUACUAU
Molecule: RNA transcript, 5148 nt
Organism: Phasianus colchicus (ring-necked pheasant)
Lineage: Eukaryota; Metazoa; Chordata; Aves; Galliformes; Phasianidae
Gene: LEMD3
Gene name: LEM domain containing 3
Source: RefSeq, a predicted model, not a curated record